Molecule: ribosomal RNA, 288 nt
Filed under: Triticum aestivum (bread wheat)
Lineage: Eukaryota; Viridiplantae; Streptophyta; Magnoliopsida; Poales; Poaceae
Description: partial small subunit ribosomal RNA
Source: RNAcentral
AUGAUUUGUUGCUUUCUCCCUAUCAGUCUUACCAUUUUGUUUUGCUUGCUUUACCUUGUAGCUUCUUCCAGUAGUUGUUUUUUUCCUUUAUGUCAGAGCUGCUCUGUCACACUUCUUAUGCUUUUACGAUGUCCUAAUAAAAGUUUUGUGUGGGCAGAUAAUUUUUUGCUUACUACAAACCGUAAGAAACUGAAGCUUACUGAUUUGGGGCUUGCACGAGAGGAAACUAUAACUGAAAUGAUGACGACUGAAACUGGGACAUACCGAUAUGGACAUAGAGUUCGUUGA